AGUAAUAAGUUUCACAAUACGAUAACAAAUUCAGAGUGUUUGCAGCGGAAAAACGUGUGAGUUAUGCAUAUGGAGAUGCAUACUCAAGGUUUCAUUACAUAUCCAUCAAAAGAAUUCCCGCUCAACACCAAACCAUUCCAUCGCCUGCUCAACCUGCACAUUUAGAAAUACAUGCAGGGCUGAGUAUAAAAAUACUCAGUAGCAUAGCCGAAAUACAACAUGCAUACAAAUAUAAAUUGAACUGCCAACAGUAACACACAGGGGUUUUUCAUGAAAGACCCGCGCUUACUUAAAACAUUUCUAUCAUUUUCAUAAAGUCGAUCGGCCGAUCAUUUUCCAUCAUAUGAUCCAUAUCUGUUCCUUUCUGACACGCGCCGGGAAGGAGGCCUCCUUACCACGGACGCCAAGACCGGUCGGAAGCGACUCGCGGUCUCCAUGAGUGUACACGUUAACCCUAGCUAGCGACCUUUGUCUAGCAUAGGAUCCCAAUUGGAUUUCCUUUAAAGUUGGCGAACCAACACAGAUAGGAUACAUAUAAAAACAUAAACAUUUUCGGCAGUCAAUCAUUUCAUAAACAUUUCAUUUCAUUUCAUAAACAUUUCAUUUUCAUUUCAUAAGAGUCAUUUAUCAUUUGAGCAUAAUAUAAAACUGAAAUUAGCAGUUAAAAUCAUACAUGCAAUAUAUUCGUAUACGAGGCCUACGUCACGCAGGGGAUCUCUAUAUACGUAUAGUAAAGUAAUGCCCACCUUAAACGUUCUUAAAGCUGGCGUGGAGUCGCUUCCUCUUCGGCUUCACUUUCUAUCGCCCGGACCUUCAUUGAUGAAGAGUCGAUAAGUUCGUGAAGAAAUUGUCACAAGACAGAGUCUAAUUCUACGUGCCUAGGGUAUCUUUUAAGGUUUUAGGGUUCUAGCAUCCAUAAUCCGUUCCAUUAAGACAAUCGAAAACCAACAUAACCUUGACUAGUCAUGACCUCACGUAAAUCACAUAACAACAAGAUAAAAGAAAUUAAUAUCCUUAAACUUAAUAUCAUUUAGAAAUUCACAAGCUCACAUAAGAGAAACUUCAUUAUUCACUUACAUAAAAAUUAAAUCAAGAGAUUUUAAUUCACUAAAAUAAUUUAGUGAAAUUUCAAACACAUUUUUUUUUUUAAAGAAAUAAGGCUAAUAUUUUCGUAGGCUUUAUUAAUCGAUUAAUAACCCAAAAUUAAUUAAAAUGGGCCCAAUCAAUUAAAUAACACCCAUCAAGAUUUAAAGGCAAAAUGGGCCCAACAGAAUUUAAAAUAAAGUGUCCAGCAUUUAAAAUUCGGCCUACUGAUUUAAUGCAAAACUCGGCCCAAACAAUUUAAAUAAAACGGCCCAUUCCUUCUCUUUUCUUUAAAAUUUUCGGCCCAGCCAUUAGAGGCUUAAGCCCAAUUAAACAAAAACCUAAAUCUAUCAUAUAACACACACAACACACAAACACACACAUAAGCUCUUUCUCUCUCUCUAUCUCUCGGCUCUCUCUCUCUCCCGACUCUCUCUCUGCUCGGUCGAGUGCGGCGCCGCCUCCGGCGCGCCGCCUCGCCGAGCACCUCCCUUCCCCCUCUCAUCUCUCUGACCUCCUCCGUCCGCCUCCCUCUCUCUCUGUUCUCUCCCCCCUCGCCGGAAUCGAUGCAUGCGCCGCUUUGAUGACCGCCGCCGCCGCCUCGCCGUGAAGGAGCUCGGCCGCCGUCCGUCGCCGGAGAAGAUAAGUUCUCCCUCCUAUCUCUCUCUCUCCCUCCCCUGUUCUACCUUCUCUUCUCUUUUUUUUUUAUAUAGCAGCCCUAACCAUCUCUCUCUACCCUCUUCUCUUUCGUUUCAGACAGACGAAGGAAAAAGGCGGCGGCUGCCGCCGCGCCGCCUUCGGCCGUGAGCAGCCGCCGGCUGCUCUCACUCCUCCCUCCGUCCUCGGUCACACACACACUGUAACACCCCGUAUUUAGUUACCUUACAAUAGUAUCGAAAUACUAUCGAGAGUUAAGGACUAACACACUAGAGUCGAGAGGAAGUUAUCAAUGGAUGGUGAUGUGAGUAAGAUAGAGAUGAUAAGAUAAUUGAGAAUGAUGUUAGAUUGAGAUGUAGAUGUUAAUUGUUUUCGAGUCGAGACGAAGUGCGAGAGAUAGAGUCGAAGUAGUGAUCGAGAAUCACUAUAGAGAAGAUUAAGCUAGAAUGACCAUUAGACUAAUGGCGAGUGAUGAUCUGUUUAUAAUAUGAUACCUUGCGAGUUAAUUGUUUGAUGUUAUAUGAUUUAUUUGGUAUGUGCGCAUUUAUAUUAUUUGAGUCAGUAUAAUUUUCGUAAAUUAGCACAAAUGUUUGAUUACCGUCGCACACUUCUAUAUUCACCACCAUUAUUUUAUCCUUUUUCCCACAUGUGGAAAUAGCCGGUUUGAUUUGCUGCUAAGGGGAGACAAAUUACUAUUCAAGCAUUUAAUGCUUCUAAUCCUUUGGGAUAAGAAUAUUGUUAAAACCGAAGCGUCUCUCUCUCCGUCAUUUCUCAUCUUUUCGGCCAUCAACUUCUUCUCUCUCCCUCACGAUAUUCUCUCUCUCCUCCAUUGGAGACCAAGCUCAAAGCUUCACCAGUCACCACUGAGACCAAAUACUCCGCUAAAUCUAGCCUUAAACACUUUCCACGUUUGUUUCAAGAAGAUUUGUUGAAUUCUAACCGGAAGGAAUCGGGAAAAGACGUCUUUUUCUUGAAACUCUUUGCGUAAGUGUUCUGUUUUUGGAGUCUAGACUUGUGUGAGAAGUAUGUGGUGAUUUAUGUGAGUUUUAAGAUGUUUUAAGCAUGAGAAACUUCCCCUUCUCCUCUUUUCUUCAUUUUCGGAAAACUUGGGUUUGUGCCCUGUAAAAAUCCUUCUUUUCUUAAAACCGAGAUGAAAUGUGUUAUAUGUAUUGUUCAGUGUGUUAUGUGAUGUUUUGAAGUGAUUAGCAUGUGUUUUACAAAAUUUAGCCUUGAGCAUGAGUUUUUGCAAAACUGAGUCCGGAGAUGGAGUUUUUACAAAAUGAGUUUGAUAUGUGAUUUUGGGAAAAAUCUGUUAGUGAAGUCUUGUAUGAUGUUUUGGUGUGGAGUAAGGAUGUAUGAAGGAGUAAAUGUUUUUGAUGAUUUUGAGUUUGUAGAGUUCUUGAGUGAGUUAUGUUGAUGCAUGCUAAGUUUUGAUGUUUUUGAGUGUUUGAUGAUUUUUGAGGAUGACAAAGUUGACGAGUUUUUCGAGUUGCUCUUUAGGGCACUGUUCUGCCUUGAGCUUUGUUCUCGAACUGAGAAGUCUUUUCUCGGGCAUGCCAGAGAAUUCGUUUUCCCGCUGGCAUGCCAGAGAAAUCGUUUUCCCAAGUUUGCCAGGGAAGAUGUUUUCCCGGGGUAUCACAGAGAAUUCAUUUCCUCGCUGCCCUGCCAGCGAGUCCUUUUUCUCUGAAGUUCGAUUCCUCUGGAUUACCUCUGAUGUUUGAUUUCUCUGAGUCUUUUUUCUCUGACGUUUGAUUUCUCUGGUGUUUGAUUCCUCUGAUGUUUGAUUUCUCUGACGUCUGAUUCCUCUGACGUCUGAUUUCUCUGAUGAUUGAUUCCUCUGACGUCUGAUUUCUCUGACGAUCGACUCCUCUGAUGAUUGAUUUCUCUGACGUUUGAGUCCUCUGACGAUCGAGUCCUCUGACGAUCGAGUCCUCUGACGAUCGAGUCCUCUGAUGUUUGAUUCCUCUGACAUUUGAUUCCUCUGGCGACAGAGAGUUCGCCAUUCCUCUGGCGACAGAGAGUUCGCCAUUCCUCUGGCAUUUCUCCGCUGCUCUGCCAGAGAGUUCAUGUUUUCGCUGCCCGGGCAAGUUGAUUCCUCUGCCUUGGCAAGCAUUUCUCCGCUGUUUCGCCGAGCUAUCCCGCUCAACUCGACAGAGUUUUUCCACUCCGACCACCGAGCAUUCCUCUGCUCUGGUCCCCGAGUCAACUUAUGUUUCCUUACUUGUGUUAUGUUUUUGAGUUGUAUGCUUAAGUGUUUAUGCAUGCUUAUGUGCUUGAUUGCUUUUAAUCUAGCCUUCCAAGCGAAGUUAAGAAUAAGAUUAGAGUUUUAUCAUAGAGUCGAGUGAUUAGACGGAGAUAAGCUGAGAAUGUUUAUGAGGAGUGUUUUAUAGGAUUAAGGUUAAGCUUUUUGUGAGAAAGUUUCUAACAUAUCCCUCGCAACUACAGAGACCAAUCGAGGACGCAAGUGAAGGUCACAUCGAGUACCACCUACAGUAAGCUGAGCACUACAGGUGGGCAGUAUGUUGAGAAUAUGUUGAGUAUGAAAUCACCGAGUUUUCUAAAAUGAAUUAUUGAUGUUAUGAGCUUAUCAAAUGUUGAGUUAAAAUGAUGUUUAUGAACUGUUUGACUUGCCAAUAUUUCUAAUGAUGAACUUGUGUGUUACCCUCUACUGAUGAGACGAAUUCGGAUCCUGCCACAAGCGGGGUUGUGUACACAGAGGUGACUGAGAGCCGUCUUCGGGUCGGCCGGUCACGGUGCUUGAGAAGGAGGCCUACUUCUCAGUACCUUGAUGAUGAUAAAAUGUAGAUGCGGUACAUACAUGUUGAUUAUUUGUCUGCAGACACUCCUUUAUGAUGUUUGAUUAUGAAAACUGCAUACACAGCCUCUUUGACGUUAACUUAUUUUCUGUGUAUUGCUGAUGAUUAUGGCAAGCAUCAAACAUAUAGCUCUAAGAGCACUUUUCUUGUCUUUCGGCGCCUGCCCACUGAGUAUUAUGUACUCACGCCCUGCAUAUAUUUCUAAAUGUGCAGGUUAAGCAUGGACGGAGGAUGGUGUGGUGUUGGUGGGGAAAUCGUUGUUUCGAGUGAUCACCUUUUGAUGCUUUUUCGCCUCUAUGGCAGCAUGAUGUUUUUGAAGCUGUUCCUGGCUUAUUUAAGAAAUAGACUCUCGGCUAUAUGUCUUCAUACAUAUAGUACGAUCACCUUUUGUUGUGUAACUCUGUAUAUACUAGAAUCCCUGUACAUAUUUGAAUUACGACCCUUUUGAUUGUGUAACUCAAACUUCGAUGUUUGACUUUUAUGGAAAUGCCGAUGAUUAUAACCUAAAGGAAUGUUGAAGUUGUUAUGAGUUGUCUAUGCUUCCGCACAAAUGAGUUUAGUUUUACAGCCUUCGAUCCUUCUUUCAUUUAGUCGUAUCGAUACCCGGUCUACACCAUCACUGGCUAGGCGGCGGGCUGCGACACACACAGAGACACAAAACCCCAAGUUUCAGUCCAAAAUUUCAAAGUAGCAAAGUCAGGGUUUCUAUUUCAGUUCUUGUCUUUCCAUUUUUUUUUUUACAACAAACAUAGAUCUGUAAUUUCAUUAAUAAUAACAAUACAUGUAUGUGUUUGUGGGUGUGCUCUGUUGUGGAUUUUAUGGCAGAAAUAAGGAUGAAAUAGUCACAGAUGUAGAAGUUAUCAGUUUAGGGGAAACCUUGUGAAAAGGGGACGAAGAUUGUUCUGCAAAAGCAUUUGCACAAAUGUGAGACUGAGAUUUACAAUCUCGAAUAAUGAAAGGUUGGAUCAGAAAGUUGUCUUACCUGCACACUCGAUCGAAGAAGGCUUUUGAGGUUGAGUUUUCAAUAAAUGAGUGGCAAUUAUAUAUAGGAAAGAGUGGCUACGCGGAGGAGCCUCAUUCAUAAAAAUUUAUAUAUAGAAAAAAAAUCAAGGAAUCUGAUUAUUGUAGCUUGCUUGGAGAGGAGGAAAUUAUGAAAUGGGCCAAAUGGCUGUUGGAUUUUUAACGGGUUGGGCUUUUAAAUGGAUGCAUGUCAGAAAUUUAAAAUGGAUUAAUAAUACUCAUGAUCUUAAUAAAUAAAUAAAUAAAAAGAUCCUUAAAUAAAAUCAUUGAAAUAAAAUUUUGGUAAAACAAAACUUAUCCCAUUUAAAGGGAAUUUCAUGACUUCAUGUCCACUUUAAAAAAAAUCCAUGUGGCUCAUAUAAAUAUGCUCAAACCACUAAUUAAACUUGUGCACCAUAAUUAUAAAAAUCCUUUAAAUCACAAACGGAUUCAAAUAAUUAAGCACAUCAAAACACAUAUAUAACAAUUAAACCACAUCAGAAAAAUAAAACCAGUUUUAUUAUUAAUAGAUGCUGAACCCUAAUUAUUAAAAAUUAAGCCUUUAAUCAAUGAUUAAAAGCCGGGAUAUGACAUACUAUCCCCCUUAAAAGAAAUUUCGUCCCGAAAUUUGUACCUCAGGGAAUAAUUCUGGGUACUUCUCCUUCAUGCUAGACUCGAGUUCCCAAGUCGCCUCUUCUUGAUCAUGGUGCUUCCAAAGGACUUUUACUAAGGGUAUCGACUUAUUCCUUAGUACUUGAACUUUCUGAUCUAGAAUAGAUUCGGGCCUCUCUUCAUAGCUCAUAUCUGGGCUGAGGAUAACGUCGUCCCUUUGGAUCACGUGUUUUGGAUCAUAAACAUAUUUCCUCAACUGCGACACAUGAAACACAUUAUGGACAUUCCCAAGGCUUGGCGGCAACGCCAGCCUGUAAGCUACCGGGCCCAUCCUUUCUAGGAUCUCAUAAGGUCCUAUAAAACGGGGUCUAAGCUUACCCUUUACGCCAAAUCUUGUAAUCCCUUUGAGGGAGAAACCUUCAAAAAGACUUUAUCCCCACACUCAAACUGAAGUCGGUUCGACGUUUGUCGGCAUAAGAUUUUGUCUAUCUUGGGCCUCUUUAAUACGCUGUCGAAUCUGACGACGAUCUCAUCAUUCCUACUGUAUCUGGCCCCAAGAUUCUUCUUUCGCCCAUUCAUCCAGUAAAGCGGCGAUCUACAUUUCUUCCGUAUAACGCCUCAUAAGGGCAUGGCGAUAGUUCUUGAUAGUGUUGUUAAGCAAAUUGAUUAGUGGCAAACACGCUCCCAAUCUUCUCUCUAUCUAGCACGACAGUCCUUAACAUAUCUUCUAGCGUUUGAAUUGUCCUUUCGACUGACCGUCGGUCUGGGGUGGAAAGUGUGCUGAAAUUCAACCUUGUCCCCAAUUCCUUUUGCAAGCUUAUCCAGAAUCUGGAGGUAAACUUAGAGUCUCUGUCAGACGUGAUUGUCUUCGACACUCCAUGUAAACGCACGAUUUCCUUGAUGUAGAGUUGGGCUAACUUUUCUGAUUCAUACGUGAUAGGGAUAGGCAGAAAGUGUGCACUCUUCGUGAGUCUGUCAAUAAUGACCCAUAUCGUCGUAUUACCUCGUCUUGUCUUUGGCAGUCCUGUGACAAAAUCCAUUGCAAUAUCGUCCCACUUCCAUUCUGGAAUCUCCAAAGGUUGUAGCUCGCCGUAAGGUCGUUGGUGUAAAGCCUUUACUUGCUGGCAACCUAGACACUUUUCGACGAAUAAAGCUACGUCUCGUUUCAUUCCUUCCCACCAGAAAUUCUCUUUUAGAUCUUGAUACAUCUUAGUGCUUCCAGGGUGGGCGGCAUAAGGAGUGUCAUGGGCUUCGCUCAUGAUCUUGUUCUUGAGUUCAUCGUCAUGAGGGAUGCAUAUUCUUUUCUCAAAGAAAAUAGCAUUGUCGGCUUCUUCGUGGUAGUUCUUAAGAUUUCCUUCUCUUAUCUUCGCUCGUAAUUUCUCUAAUUUAUCAUCCUUCCUUUGAGCUUCUACCACCAUUUCCCUCAAAUUUGGCAUCGUCGCGACCAUUCCCGCUAUUGUAGCAGGUGGCUUUUUCACCUCUAUCCUCAUCCUAUCAAAAUCCCUUAUGAGCUUUUCUUCCUUUGUAAAGAUGUAUCCCAACUUCGAUGGGAUCUUGCGGCUCAAUGCGUCGGCUACUACAUUGGCCUUUCCCGGAUGAUAAUUUAUACCAGUCAUAGUCUUUUACUAAUUCAAGCCACCUUCGUUGUCUCAUGUUGAGAUCUUUUUGCUCGAAGAAGUACUUCAGACCUUUGUGAUCGGUGUAAAUCUCACACCUGACACCAUAUAGAUGAUGUCUCCAGAUUUUCAGUGCGUGCACUACCGCCGUUAGCUCUAGAUCAUGGGUCGGAUAAUUCAAUUCGUGUGGCCUAAGUUGCCGUGAUGCAUAUGCAAUCACUUUGCCUUCCUGCAUCAAAACGCAUCCUAGUCCAUUCUUUGAUGCAUCCGUGUAGACCACAUACUCCUUGUCUGGUUCUGGAAUUGCUAGCACUGGCGCCGUAGUUAGUUUCUCUUUGAGCAGCUGAAAACUUUCCUCACACUCGUUAGUCCAUGCGUAUUUAAUUCCCUUUCGGAGCAAUUGCGUCAUCGGCCUUGCUAUCUUAGAAAAUCCCUCAAUGAAUCUUCGAUAGUAGCCAGCCAAUCCCAAGAAACUUCUGAUCUCGUUUGGGGUAGUUGGCGACCUCCACCCUUGCACUGCUUCCACUUUGGCGGGGUCCACCUUGAUAUCUUCUGAAGACACAAUGUGUCCCAAAAAUGUAACUUUUUUUUUUUUAGCCAAAACUCACAUUUGCUGAAUUUGGCGUAAAUGCGUUCAUCCCUUAGCGUUUGCAACGCAGUUCUUAGAUGUUCCUUGUGUUCUUCUUCAUUCUUAGAGUAGAUGAGAAUAUCGUCAAUAAACACCAAGACGAACUUAUCCAAAUAAGGAUGAAAUACUCUGUUCAUGAGGUCCAUGAACACAGCCGGCGCAUUUGUUAGUCCGAACGGUACAACUACGAACUCGUAGUGACCAUAUCUUGUUCGGAAAGCCGUUUUGGGUAUAUCUUCAUGCCUAACCUUUAGCUGAUGAUACCCGGACUUCAAAUCGAUUUUGGAGAAAACACUCGCGCCCUUGAGUUGGUCGAAUAAAUCAUCGAUUCUUGGUAAUGGAUACUUGUUCUUGAGCGUUAGCUUGUUCAGCUCUCGGUAAUCAAUGCACAAUCUCAAGGUGCCAUCUUUCUUCUUGACAAAUAGCACCGACGCUCCCCAUGGGGACACACUAGGCCUAAUGAAGCCUAGGUCCAGCAACUCUUGUAAUUGGAUCUUCAACUCCUCCAAUUCCUUCGGAGCCAUUCUGUAUGGUGCCUUUGAUACUGGCGCUGAUCCUGGCUCUAGAUCGAUGGUGAAUUCUACUUGCCUGUCGGGUGGUAAACCUGGCAAAUUUUCUGGGAAAACAUCUUGAAAAUCCCGCACGGUCUCUACAUCUUCUAUUGUCCUUUCGGUCUCAACUCCCCCGUUCAGGUAUACGAGGAAGGCUUGGCAUCUUGACUGCAUUUUCUUAACUAAACGAUCCUAUGGUUAGCUCUAGGUUCGAGCAAGCAUGUGUUACUACUGCCGUCCCUCCUAUUGGUGAAGAAAUUCUCAAGUCCUGAUUAGUCUUUUCAGGUUGGAGCUUUAAGGUUUUUACACAUGCACUUGCAAUGAAAGAAUGUGAGGCAUCCGUGUCGAACAGGAGUAUAACAGGUGUGUCGCAUAACGUGCCCAUACCUGCCAAAUUCCCUUGGUUGUUUCCUUGCUUAUUCUUGAGCAGGGCAUAAGAUCUUGUUUGUGAAAUUGUGGUGGAUGUACCGCAGGUCGAUACUGUUGUUGUGGUGGUGGGUAGAGUAGUUGUUGGCCUUGGACAGCCCUGAGUGGUUGUGCUUGGCCCGACUGAUUCGGCCUUCUCAUUCCUCCUUGAGGUUUUCCUUGGCAUUCUCUGGCAAAAUGGCCCUUCUGGCCACACUUCAAGCAGAUAUUGCUGCCAGGCAAGCAUAUGCCGUGAUGUGACUUGGAGCAUUUGGGACAUAAAGGUACCCUGAGCUGGCCCUGAUUGUUUCCAGUUGGUCCUGGAUUGACUGGUCGUCCUUGCCAUUGCCCUUGUGGCACCAUGUUCCCUUGCCAUGGCCUCUUGUUAUCUUGGUUGUUGUAAUAAUCUCUAUUUUUAUUGUUGUUGCCUUCCCACUUUCUCUUUCCGCGAUCACUGUUCCCCGGAGCUUGAGUCUGGGUUGAGCUGUCUUCAGGCAUGGUUGCUUCAACAUCCAGGGCUCUGCUAAGUGCCUCAGAGUGGGUGAGAUUACCAUGACUAGUAAGUGCCAUCUUGAUCUCAUGCCUAAGGCCGGAGCAGAAAUUUUCUGACAUAUUUCAUCAGUAUCCACUUAUUGUAGGGUAUAACGAACAUGUCGCAGAUGCUACGGUCGUACUCAGUCUUGAUAUCUUGUUUUGCUUCAGGUUAAUCAUUUUCGUUUCUGUCCUAUAGCAGCUAUCAGAAAAAUAUAUAUAUAUCGUAUAUAUCUGCCUUAAGGUCAUUUCUAAGGCAAUUAUGCCAACCCUUGUUGAGUCAUCUCUUUUCGUUUUGCCUUCCACCAAAAUCUGCAGAUUCAGUCAACAGGAAUGCGACACAGGAAAUCGUUCUUGGCGGUACGAUGGGGGAAAGAAAACAUCAAGGGUCUUGUCCAUCACCUUAAUCCCAAGCUUACUAUCAAUUGAAUUCCCAAUUCUAAUCUAUAUACACGAGAUUUACUUGAGAAUAAGUUCCCUCGUCCUUUUGUGGCGGUUCAUUUGCUCCUACCUCAUUCUUAGGGCUCAUCUACGGGGCAUUCUAUUUUCCAAAGACCAAAAUGGUCAUCAACCCAUUUCUUGUUACCUAUAUGCAUAACACUUUCCUAUAAAUCUAUGUUAAAACUAUCAUAGACCAAAUAACUUAAGUCCUCGUACUCGAACACUAUAUUACGGUCUUAGCUUGAACUCUGAAUUUCUAUCAUAAUGAGCGGUCGAUAUCACUUAUAGGACAAAGACUAAUCUCAACUAAUUUAACACAAUGAGACACAAUUAUACGAUGUUAUAGUUUGGGUAGUAUACUACGUCAGUAGACUAACACUUCUUGGUCUUAUCAAUCAAGGGGAUCUAUUAUGACAACUCAAAAGUUGCAAGGCUCAAAAUAAACACAACAUUCAAAGCAAGGUGUUGUAGAAACUGUUUAAGAGAUUCAAAAGAAUGACCAGAGGUUAGGAAAUGGUUAACAACAAGGUCGAACAAAAUGACCUAAAGUAAGAACCCAUCUGGCUUUUUAACCGAAAGUUGAAACACAUGGGUUUUCAACCCAAAAGACGUCUACUGAGAUUUGGAUCAUGUGGACUGGCCAGGUCCAACAUCAUCACCUCCCAGUCACACGGGAAACAUCGUCCCGAACUUGGAGAGCCAUGGACAUAUUAUACAUGACGAAUCUUAAGUUCGUAAAAGCAACUAAAACUCAACUUAAGGUUCUAUGUCCUAUUGAACUAGACUCUUACUCCCCUAGGUCUACCUUCUUACAUAAGUGUACGUACAUAGCAUACCGAUAGUCGCACCAUAACUUCUAUACAACUUGUAGUCCCAAGGACAUGGGCAGUAGUCCAAAAGCAUGUAUAUUGAGCUAUAGCAGCUCCUAUGUUGCCAUCAAAAGCUAUCCUGAUAUCCUGAUAUGCCCUGGUGGUCUAUGUUGGGGUCAGACGCGGAGCCCUCCUAACUAUCGGAAUAGGUCUGGACGUAACCAUCUUUAGCAGAUAAGGGCAAAGGUGAGUCUUCUUAUACGUAAGCAUACGUAAAUCUCUUAAAGGUAAAAGGUUAUGAACAUACUAUGCAUAACAAAACAUAAGUUUCAUUAUGACAACUAAACUUAUCUUAAGGUUUUCUAUCUUAUUGAUCUCAAACCCCAAACCCCACUAAAACAUACACACACAUACAGACAAAACAUACUAUUCUUAAAAUCUAUCGUAUAGCAAAAGUCGAUUCGAUGUUCCGUCGCGUGUGAACACUCGAACGUAGAGACUAUGCUCAAACCCUUGAUGCAACAUUUGCCUCGGAUUCAUCUUGUUAUCGUCAUUCCGUGCUUUUCCUUCAACGCGUACAUAUCUUUUCAUUCCUCUUUCAUUCUUCUAAAUCAUCACUUUAAGAAUCUAGAUUGUAGAGAUAUCCUACUAAUCUAGUAGUCUAUGUUCUUUUAGAAUCGUGAUCAUGCCACUUAUAGCAAUCUAUGUUUUCUGGGGAAAGCAAGUGUAAAUUCUCUAUCAUUCCUCUUAUCAUAACAUCAUAACUGCAAAGAUAUGCCAUGAAAGGCAAAACAUUCAACAUUUCAUCAUAGCAUGCUCUUUACAUAAACAUAUUCAUAAAACAGCUUGAAACAAUAACAUCUUUAAAACGUUGAAACUGCAGUUACCUUUUUCCUUGAUUGAGCACGAUGCAAUGGAGUGUUGAGCGGUGUCGUAUGAACCCAUGUAAAUCUAGUGAAUUAAGCUAGAAUCGACUAUUUAGAAUGAGGUUUCUAGGGCCAGAGCAAACGAACUGCUCUGAUACCAUUCUGUCACAGCCCACUAUCCCAGUGACGGGUUAAUCGGGGUUAUGACUUGGGUGAACAAUAAGAAAAGGAAAUUAAAGGGGAUUUGCUAAGUAACCAACAUUAAUAACAACAACUAGUGAUAUAUAAACAACUGCUUGGAUAUUUUACAAACGAUUAUGCCAUAACGACCAGGCCCAAGGGAAAGUUAAACAAAGUGAAAGAGUAAUAAGUUCCAUAAUACGAUAACAAAUUCAGAGUGUUUGCAGCGGAAAAACGUGUGAGUUAUGCAUAUGGAGAUGCAUACUCAAGGUUUCAUUACGUAUCCAUCAAAAGAAUUCCCGCUCAACACCAAACCAUUCCAUCGCCUGCUCAACCUGCACAUUUAGAAAUAUAUGCAGGGCUGAGUAUAAAAAUACUCAGUGGCAUAAGCCGAAAAACAUCAUGCAUACAUAUAUAAAUUGAACUGCCAUAACAGUAACACACAGGGGUUUUCUUAAAUGACCUGCGCUUACUAAAACAUUUCUGUCAUUUUCAUAAAGUUGGAUGGCCAUCCCAUUUUCAGUCUAUAUGAUCCAUAUCUGUCCUUUCAGUCACGCGCCGGGAAGGAGGCCUCCUUACCACGGACGCCAAGACCGGUCGCAAGUGACUCGCGGUCUCCAUGAGUGUACACGUUAACCCUAGCUAGCGACCUUUGUCUAGCAUAGGAUCCCAAUUGGAUUUCCUUUAAAGUUGGCGAACCAACACAGAUAGGAUACAUAUAAAAACAUAAACAUUUUUGGCAGUCAAUCAUUUCAUAAACGUUUCAUUUUCAUAAACAUUCCAUUUUCAUUUCAUAAGAGCCAUUUAUCAUUUGAGCAUAAUAAUAAACUGAAAUUAACAGUUAAAAUCAUCUCAUGCAUAUAUUCGUAUAAGAGGCCUACGACACGCAGGGGGUCUCUAUAUACGUAGUAAAAGUAAUGCCCACCUUAAACGUUCUUAAAGAUGGCGUGGAGUCGCUUCUCCUUCGGCUUCACUUUCUGUCGCCCGAACCUUCAUUGAUGAAGAGUCGAUAAGUUCGUGAGGAAAUUGUCAUGAGACAAAGUCUAAUUCUACGUGCCUAAGGUAUCUUUUAGUGUUUUAGGGUUCUAGCAUCCAUAAUUCGUUCCAUUAAAGACAAUCAAAAACCAACAUAAUCUUGACUAGUCAUAACCUUACGGGAAAUCACAUAGCAACAAGAUAAAAAAAAUAAUAUCCUUAAACUUAAUAUCAUUUAGAAAUUCACAAGCUCACAUAAGAGAUAAAAAAAAAAAAAAACAUGCACCAUUAUUAAUUUAAAUAAAAGAACGAACUUCAUUUAAAAUAAUUAGUCCCAACUUUCAAUAUUAAAAAUUUAAAUCAAGAGAUUUAAAUUCACUAAAAUAACUUAGUGAAAACUCAAACAUUUUUAAAAGAAAUAAGGCCAAAAUUCGUAGGCUUUAUUAAUCAAUUGACAGCCCGAAAUUAAUUAAAAUGGCCCAACAGAAACUAAAAUAAAUUGUCCAGCAUUUAAAAUUUAGCCCACUGAUUUUAAUGCAAAAUUCGGCCCAAACAAAUUAAAUAAAAACCCACCAGAUUUUAAAAUAAAAGGGGCCAAUAACAUUUUAGUAAUUAAAAAUCGGCCCAUUCCUUCUUUUUCCUUUAAAAAUUUUCGGUCCAGCCCUUAGAGGCUUAAGCCCAAUUAAAAACAAAGCCCUAAUCCUAUAACACACACAUAACACACAAAUACACACACAAGCCUCAUUCUCUCUCUAUCUCUCAGCUCUCUCCCGGCUCUCUCUGCUCUCUCUCUGCUCGGUCGAGUGCGGCGCCGCCUCCGGCGCGCCGCCUCGCCGAGCACCUCCCUUCCCCCUCUCAUCUCUCUGACCUCCUCCGUCUGCCUCCCUCUUUCUCAGUUCUUUCUCCCUCGCCGGAAAGGUAGGUUCCAAUUCUUCCCCCUUUUCCUCUCUUUUCUAUUUUUAAACCCAGAUCUGAAAUUGCCCCCCCUUCUUUUCCUCUUUUCCGGCCGAUCAGGAACAGCCCGUUGCUCCCGCCGCCGUGUCGCCGCUGCCGGUGCCGCCGCGUCGUCGUCACCGGAGAAGAUGAGUCCUCCCUUCUCUCUCUCUCUCUUCCCUUUUUUUUAAAAACUUAAUCUCUCUCUCUCUCUUGGUCGUUUCAGACAGAAAAGGAAAAAGGCGGUGGCUUGCCGCCGCGCCGUCUCCGGCCGUGAGCAGCCGCUGGCUGCUCUCACUCCUCCCUCCGUCCCCGGUCACACACACACAGAGACACAAAGAGUCCAAAUUUUCAGUUUACACAGAACACUUAGGUUUUCAAAAUUUGUUCUUUCUAUUCUUGUCUAUUCUCAAAAUCAAAUCUUGUAAUUGUAAUAGGUUGAAAGUGAAGUGAUGAUGAGUGUGUGUGUUCGUUGCUGUUUCUUUCUUCUUCCUUUUUUUUUGUUUGAUGCAGAAUCAACAAAUGAUGUGGGGAGGUUUUGGAGUAACCUUGAUUUGGUGGUGAUGUUGGAAUCUGUGAAUUGUAAACAAAUAUAAGAAUGAGUUUUGCUUUCUUUGAAACUGGAACAAUUGAUGGAGGUUAAUCAAGUAAUCACCUUCUUGAUUUUGAAUCUUGGAAGUAGUCGAAACUGGAAAACUUGGGACUGAUCUUGGAGAUCUGGAAACAGCCGAGUCUUGAUGAUUGAAAUUUUGGAAUUUAUUUGGUAAUUUGGAAGCCAUCGAGAACUUAGAGUAGGAAUUGAGAGAGAUUGAUAAUGUAGAGAUUGGAGAGAGAAUCUAGAGAUUAGAGAGAAUGAGAGAUUAGAGAGAGA
Molecule: long non-coding RNA, 14973 nt
Filed under: Salvia miltiorrhiza (redroot sage)
Lineage: Eukaryota; Viridiplantae; Streptophyta; Magnoliopsida; Lamiales; Lamiaceae
Description: long non-coding RNA (SMIL_LNC012443)
Source: RNAcentral